Long non-coding RNA from Prionailurus viverrinus (fishing cat), 855 nucleotides. RefSeq lists it as uncharacterized. The record is from RefSeq and is a predicted model, not a curated record. Lineage: Eukaryota; Metazoa; Chordata; Mammalia; Carnivora; Felidae. The transcript is spliced from 3 exons.
GCUGCGGAGUCGCGCUGGGAGUCCUGGGGCCCACGGUCGUCACAAAAGCGCCCUUGCUCCUUCUCCCGCUUCCUUCCUCCUGCCGGGUCCGCUCCGCUGACACCCAGGGACACUCGCCGGUCAGGUCCUUAGGACCUUAACUUUAUUCAUUCUUUUACACUUUCCAGCUCUCGCUUAACGAUGUACAGAGCUGUUGUUUUCAAAAUUUGAAUUAGUCUCAGGUUCAUGAAUAUCACCCAAGUUGGUGUUGUAUGUACGUUUUCGUGAUUUCUAAGCUGGAAAUGCGGCUGGAGCUGAGGACACUUUGCUUCUGCUUCUUGUUUGUGCAUGUUCAAGUUUGCAUUCGAGUGACGUUUGUUCGUGAACUUUGCUCCUUGUCUCUAGGAGCUAGCUUGCUAUCCUGUGGUUUUCCUAUUUUCAUUUUCUGUAUUAAAGUUCGUUCAGUCAGGUCGUUAUGUGUUCAAUCUUCACAAGUCAUUUCCAAUUUACCUGGUGAGGAAAAAACCAAUGGAGAGGUUAUGUCCACAUUUUUUUUUUAAGGUGGCCACUGCACUACUCUGACCUCUGUUUCCGUGAUCAUAUCUCCUCUGACUUUCCUGUCCCCUUCUUUCAUAAGGACACUUGUGAUGAUACUCUGGUUUCUCUUCGGAUUGAAGACGGAGACUUGUGAUUGCCUUGGGCCCAGCCAGAUAAUCCAGCCUAAUGUCCCCGUCUCAAAAUCCUUAGCUUAAGCAUACCUGCAAAACCUCAUUUGCCAUGUUAGGUAAUACAUUCACAGGUUCUGGGAAUCAGGACAUGGACUUCUGGGGAGCAGUGGGUGAUUAUCCUGUUCCUUUAAAUGAAAACCUAAGGAAA